Molecule: long non-coding RNA, 250 nt
Organism: Lynx canadensis (Canada lynx)
Lineage: Eukaryota; Metazoa; Chordata; Mammalia; Carnivora; Felidae
Exons: 3
Source: RefSeq, a predicted model, not a curated record
UGGUAGGGGAAGGGCAGAAGAGGUGAGGGGGAAUGAAUGGGCUGCCUGAGAGAGAGAGAGACUUCUGUCUUUAAGGAAGGCCCCACCCCAUCAGGAUCCAGAUGGCGUUAAUGAUUGCUUUAGUUUGAGCUAUCCUGGUAACCCCCAGCCAGGGGACUUGAUUGAAGUGUUUCGUUCUGGCUAUCAGCACUGGGCACUGUACCUGGGUGAUGGUUAUGUUAUCAACAUAGCACCUCUAGAGGGUGGCAUU